This 1126-nucleotide ribosomal RNA is filed under the name Latilactobacillus sakei. RNAcentral describes it as "bacterial SSU rRNA". It matches the Rfam family "Bacterial small subunit ribosomal RNA", at positions 48 to 1136 of the family's 1533-position model. Lineage: Bacteria; Bacillati; Bacillota; Bacilli; Lactobacillales; Lactobacillaceae. The record is from RNAcentral.
GCUAUACAUGCAAGUCGAACGCACUCUCGUUUAGAUUGAAGGAGCUUGCUCCUGAUUGAUAAACAUUUGAGUGAGUGGCGGACGGGUGAGUAACACGUGGGUAACCUGCCCUAAAGUGGGGGAUAACAUUUGGAAACAGAUGCUAAUACCGCAUAAAACCUAACACCGCAUGGUGUAGGGUUGAAAGAUGGUUUCGGCUAUCACUUUAGGAUGGACCCGCGGUGCAUUAGUUAGUUGGUGAGGUAAAGGCUCACCAAGACCGUGAUGCAUAGCCGACCUGAGAGGGUAAUCGGCCACACUGGGACUGAGACACGGCCCAGACUCCUACGGGAGGCAGCAGUAGGGAAUCUUCCACAAUGGACGAAAGUCUGAUGGAGCAACGCCGCGUGAGUGAAGAAGGUUUUCGGAUCGUAAAACUCUGUUGUUGGAGAAGAAUGUAUCUGAUAGUAACUGAUCAGGUAGUGACGGUAUCCAACCAGAAAGCCACGGCUAACUACGUGCCAGCAGCCGCGGUAAUACGUAGGUGGCAAGCGUUGUCCGGAUUUAUUGGGCGUAAAGCGAGCGCAGGCGGUUUCUUAAGUCUGAUGUGAAAGCCUUCGGCUCAACCGAAGAAGUGCAUCGGAAACUGGGAAACUUGAGUGCAGAAGAGGACAGUGGAACUCCAUGUGUAGCGGUGAAAUGCGUAGAUAUAUGGAAGAACACCAGUGGCGAAGGCGGCUGUCUGGUCUGUAACUGACGCUGAGGCUCGAAAGCAUGGGUAGCAAACAGGAUUAGAUACCCUGGUAGUCCAUGCCGUAAACGAUGAGUGCUAGGUGUUGGAGGGUUUCCGCCCUUCAGUGCCGCAGCUAACGCAUUAAGCACUCCGCCUGGGGAGUACGACCGCAAGGUUGAAACUCAAAGGAAUUGACGGGGGCCCGCACAAGCGGUGGAGCAUGUGGUUUAAUUCGAAGCAACGCGAAGAACCUUACCAGGUCUUGACAUCCUUUGACCACUCUAGAGAUAGAGCUUUCCCUUCGGGGACAAAGUGACAGGUGGUGCAGGGUUGUCGUCAGCUCGUGCCGGGAAAUGUUGGGUUAAGUCCCGCAACGAGCGCACCCUUAUUACUAGUUGCCAGCAUUAGUUGGGC